CCUACGGGAGGCAGCAGUGGGGAAUUUUGCGCAAUGCUCGUAAGAGUGACGCAGCGACGCCGCGUGAAUGACGAAGGCCUUCGGGUCGUAAAGUUCUUUCGACAGGGAAGAAAAUGCCUAUAAGUAACUGUGUAUGUAUUGACGGUACCUGUAUAAGCAGCCCCGGCUAACUCCGUGCCAGCAGCCGCGGUAAUACGGAGGGGGCGAGCGUUGUUCGGAGUGACUGGGCGUAAAGAGCACGUAGGCGGUGUUGUAAGUCAUUAGUCAAAGACUAGAGCUCAACUUUAGUAAGGCUAGUGAUACUAUAAUACGAGAGUAUCAGAGAGGAUUGCAGAAGUCCUGGGGUAGCGGUGAAAUGCGUAGAUAUCAGGAGGAAUACCGUUAGCGAAGGCGGCAAUCUGGCUGGAAACUGACGCUGAGGUGCGAAAGCGUGGGUAGCAAACAGGAUUAGAUACCCCUGUAGUC
RNAcentral lists this ribosomal RNA (465 nucleotides) under uncultured bacterium. RNAcentral describes it as "partial 16S ribosomal RNA". It matches the Rfam family "Bacterial small subunit ribosomal RNA", at positions 338 to 795 of the family's 1533-position model. The record is from RNAcentral.